GUGCCAGCAGCCGCGGUAAGACAGAGGGGGCAAGCGUUGCUCGGAAUUACUGGGCGUAAAGGGCGCGUAGGCGGGAUGGCAAGUCGGUCGUGAAAUCCCUCGGCUCAACUGAGGAGCGUCGAUCGAAACUGCCGUUCUUGAGGGUUGCAGAGGAGACUGGAAUUCCCGGUGUAGCGGUGAAAUGUGUAGAGAUCGGGAGGAACACCGGUGGCGAAGGCGGGUCUCUGGGCAACUCCUGACGCUGAGGCGCGAAAGCGUGGGGAGCAAACGGGAUUAGAAACCCUUGUAGUCC
Molecule: ribosomal RNA, 292 nt
Filed under: uncultured bacterium
Lineage: Bacteria
Description: partial 16S ribosomal RNA
Rfam family: Bacterial small subunit ribosomal RNA
Source: RNAcentral